RNAcentral lists this ribosomal RNA (506 nucleotides) under uncultured bacterium. Its description in RNAcentral is "partial 16S ribosomal RNA". It matches the Rfam family "Bacterial small subunit ribosomal RNA", at positions 29 to 523 of the family's 1533-position model. The record is from RNAcentral.
AGUGAACGCUGGCGGUAGGCCUAACACAUGCAAGUCGAACGGCAGCACAGGAGAGCUUGCUCUCUGGGUGGCGAGUGGCGGACGGGUGAGGAAUACAUCGGAAUCUACUUUUUCGUGGGGGCUAACGUAGGGAAACUUACGCUAAUACCGCAUACGACCUACGGGUGAAAGCAGGGGAUCUUCGGACCUUGCGCGAUUGAAUGAGCCGAUGUCGGAUUAGCUAGUUGGCGGGGUAAAGGCCCACCAAGGCGACGAUCCGUAGCUGGUCUGAGAGGAUGAUCAGCCACACUGGAACUGAGACACGGUCCAGACUCCUACGGGAGGCAGCAGUGGGGAAUAUUGGACAAUGGGCGCAAGCCUGAUCCAGCCAUACCGCGUGGGUGAAGAAGGCCUUCGGGUUGUAAAGCCCUUUUGUUGGGAAAGAAAUCCAGCUGGUUAAUACCCGGUUGGGAUGACGGUACCCAAAGAAUAAGCACCGGCUAGCUUCGUGCCAGCCGCCGCAGUAA